UGGGGAAUAUUGCACAAUGGGCGCAAGCCUGAUGCAGCCAUGCCGCGUGUGUGAAGAAAGCCUUCGGGUUGUAAAGCACUUUCAGCGGGGAGGAAGGCGAUAAGGUUAAUAACCUUGUCGAUUGACGUUACCCGCAGAAGAAGCACCGGCUAACUCCGUGCCAGCAGCCGCGGUAAUACGGAGGGUGCAAGCGUUAAUCGGAAUUACUGGGCGUAAAGCGCACGCAGGCGGUCUGUCAAGUCGGAUGUGAAAUCCCCGGGCUCAACCUGGGAACUGCAUUCGAAACUGGCAGGCUAGAGUCUUGUAGAGGGGGGUAGAAUUCCAGGUGUAGCGGUGAAAUGCGUAGAGAUCUGGAGGAAUACCGGUGGCGAAGGCGGCCCCCUGGACAAAGACUGACGCUCAGGUGCGAAAGCGUGGGGAGCAAACAGG
RNAcentral lists this ribosomal RNA (429 nucleotides) under Chloroflexota bacterium. Its description in RNAcentral is "Chloroflexi bacterium partial 16S ribosomal RNA". It matches the Rfam family "Bacterial small subunit ribosomal RNA", at positions 355 to 776 of the family's 1533-position model. The record is from RNAcentral. Lineage: Bacteria; Bacillati; Chloroflexota.